GCAGGUGUAGUCCAAUUAGGCAGAGACAGCAGACUUAAAAUCUGUCCAGUGAGAGUUCGAAUCUCUCCACCUGUACCA
RNAcentral lists this transfer RNA (78 nucleotides) under Candidatus Asgardarchaeum californiense. RNAcentral describes it as "tRNA-Leu". It matches the Rfam family "tRNA". From Rfam's summary of the family: Transfer RNA (tRNA) molecules are approximately 80 nucleotides in length. The record is from RNAcentral. Lineage: Archaea; Promethearchaeati; Candidatus Asgardarchaeia (ex Tamarit et al. 2024); Candidatus Asgardarchaeales (ex Tamarit et al. 2024); Candidatus Asgardarchaeaceae.